RNAcentral lists this ribosomal RNA (253 nucleotides) under uncultured Rikenellaceae bacterium. RNAcentral describes it as "partial 16S ribosomal RNA". It matches the Rfam family "Bacterial small subunit ribosomal RNA", at positions 524 to 776 of the family's 1533-position model. Lineage: Bacteria; Pseudomonadati; Bacteroidota; Bacteroidia; Bacteroidales; Rikenellaceae. The record is from RNAcentral.
UACGGAGGAUUCAAGCGUUAUCCGGAUUUAUUGGGUUUAAAGGGUGCGUAGGCGGCAGAUUAAGUUAGAGGUGAAAUUCCGAGGCUCAACCUUGGCACUGCCUCUGAUACUGGUUUGCUAGCGAGUAGAUGCUGUAGGCGGAAUGUAUGGUGUAGCGGUGAAAUGCUUAGAGAUCAUACAGAACACCGAUAGCGAAGGCAGCUUACCAGACUGAGUCUGACGCUGAUGCACGAGAGCAUGGGUAGCAAACAGG